RNAcentral lists this ribosomal RNA (497 nucleotides) under uncultured bacterium. Its description in RNAcentral is "partial 16S ribosomal RNA". It matches the Rfam family "Bacterial small subunit ribosomal RNA", at positions 28 to 507 of the family's 1533-position model. The record is from RNAcentral.
GACGAACGCUGGCGGCGUGCCUAAUACAUGCAAGUAGAACGCUGAAGAGAGGAGCUUGCUCUUCUUGGAUGAGUUGCGAACGGGUGAGUAACGCGUAGGUAACCUGCCUUGUAGCGGGGGAUAACUAUUGGAAACGAUAGCUAAUACCGCAUAACAAUAGGUGACACAUGUCAUUUAUUUGAAAGGGGCAAUUGCUCCACUACAAGAUGGACCUGCGUUGUAUUAGCUAGUAGGUGAGGUAACGGCUCACCUAGGCGACGAUACAUAGCCGACCUGAGAGGGUGAUCGGCCACACUGGGACUGAGGCACGGCCCAGACUCCUACGGGAGGCAGCAGUAGGGAAUCUUCGGCAAUGGGGGCAACCCUGACCGAGCAACGCCGCGUGAGUGAAGAAGGUUUUCGGAUCGUAAAGCUCUGUUGUAAGUCAAGAACGAGUGUGAGAGUGGAAAGUUCACACUGUGACGGUAGCUUACCAGAAAGGGACGGCUAACUACGUG